RNAcentral lists this ribosomal RNA (497 nucleotides) under uncultured bacterium. RNAcentral's name for it is "partial 16S ribosomal RNA". It matches the Rfam family "Bacterial small subunit ribosomal RNA", at positions 28 to 507 of the family's 1533-position model. The record is from RNAcentral.
GAUGAACGCUGGCGGCGUGCCUAAUACAUGCCAGUCGAGCGAACAGACGAGGAGCUUGCCCCUCUGACGUUAGCGGCGGACGGGUGAGUAACACGUGGAUAACCUACCUAUAAGACUGGGAUAACUUCGGGAAACCGGAGCUAAUACCGGAUAAUAUAUUGAACCGCAUGGUUCAAUAGUGAAAGACGGUUUUGCUGUCACUUAUAGAUGGAUCCGCGCCGCAUUAGCUAGUUGGUAAGGUAACGGCUUACCAAGGCAACGAUGCGUAGCCGACCUGAGAGGGUGAUCGGCCACACUGGAACUGAGACACGGUCCAGACUCCUACGGGAGGCAGCAGUAGGGAAUCUUCCGCAAUGGGCGAAAGCCUGACGGAGCAACGCCGCGUGAGUGAUGAAGGUCUUCGGAUCGUAAAACUCUGUCAUUAGGGAAGAACAAAUGUGUAAGUAACUAUGCACGUCUUGACGGUACCUAAUCAGAAAGCCACGGCUAACUACGUG